RNAcentral lists this long non-coding RNA (1179 nucleotides) under Mustela putorius furo (domestic ferret). RNAcentral describes it as "lncRNA (ENSMPUG00000024514.1)". The record is from RNAcentral. Lineage: Eukaryota; Metazoa; Chordata; Mammalia; Carnivora; Mustelidae.
GGGUCUGGAAAAGACCAAUGGGGAGCUUGCAUGUGAGAUCUCUUGGGGGAACUUCGAAGCACUCUGUUAAUGAAAAGGAUCCCAGUGGCCUCUCUACUCCACCUUUGAAUCUGGGCUUCUUCAUGGUCCUUCCAGUUCCUUUUCUGACUCUCUGCUUUCCCUGGAUGAGAGUCGAGGCUUCAGAACUAUAUAGUCUUGUGAUUUAAAACAUCUACGGAGGUUCUUGGAGAAGUGAUAGAUUACAGAGCUGGGGCAGGGAUAAGACAAGAUGUGCCUGCAGGAUCUUAUAGUACCAAAAAGCAAGGCAGUGCUAAAGAUGGGGGCAUGUUGAAAGGACACAGGAGCCAAUCAAAGAACUCUCAAUGGCCGAAGCCGAAACUGAUUUCAGCCACAAAAGAAAGUAUCAGUUAAUGAAACAAGAUAAAUACUCAGAAGAACAAGAUAAAUACUCAGAAGUCCAUACCAAUAUAUAUUAAUUAUUAAAUAAAUCAGUACAUGCUGGAGAAAGGACAACUCCUCCUAACAGAAGAAUUCCAAUUAAUAAAUGUAAAAGGAAAUAAGGAAAUAGCAAGUCAUCGUUAGAACACUAGUAAACACUGCUGUAGCCAGCAUCCACCUAUAAAAGCUAAAAUUAGUGGGCAAAAGUUGAAAGGGAAAGUAGGUAUUUGCAUAGCCUUAGCGAAUGUGGUAUCUUUCCCAUGUAUGACUUCAAUAUGAUCACAAGAAAUGUGCAAAUUUGAGGGACAUUUUACAGAAUACCUGACUGGUAUUCACUGAGAAUGUCAAGGUCCUGGAAAACUGAUAAACUGAAGAACUGUCACAGACUGGGGGAGACUAAAGAGACACAAUCACUAAUGUGGAGCCCGAGACUGGGCCUUGGGAUAGAAGAAGGACAUGGGCGAGAAACUGGUGAAAUCAAAAUAAAGUGUGUAAUCUACUUGUAGUAUUGAGCCAAUGUUAAUUUCUUACUUUUGACCAUCGGUUGUGCAAGAUGCUAAUUCUGGGGUGAAGGAUUUAUGGCAACUCUAUACUAUCUUCUCAGAUCUUCCAUCAAUAUAAAGUUAUUUCUGAAUAAAAUAUUCUGAAUAAAAACCUUAAAAACCAGCAAACGAAGUAUCUAUUACACAGAGAACUCCCAAUCCUCCAUGUCUCUGGAGGGACCUUUCUUUUUUCGAAUCU